CUGAAGCUGGCCGAAGAAAAUGUACCCGGUGACUGGAACCCCGCUCCUGCCCAGGUUGUGGACAGCUUUAACGUGACCACGAUCAGAGAUCCGAUACGGAAGGUGCUAGUUUCCUUGAAGCAUAAGAGCGUGUACCUGCUCAUGGACGUAGCAGUUCAUCAGUACCCCAUGGAAUCCUGCAGAAACAGUCACCAGAACUGCGCGUCUUGCGUACUGGACCCCUUCUGUGGUUGGGACGGCACACAAUGCAUUCCUCUUGCAAACGGGGCGGCAGAUGCUUUGCGAAAGUGUGGAGGGCCGACGUCGGUGUAGUCUACGAUAGUCGAUGCUUGUUACUGCGGUUAUUCUUACACAGCAAGGCAGUAAUAAACAGGAUCACCUUAGAAGAAUACAGGAAGGAGGACAAGAUAAAGUACGCUGCCUUCCAAGGGUCAUAAUACUAAAAAAAAAACCUAGUGUCUUUCUUGUUCCUUCAUUCUUUAUGUACCUGUAAAGCACUUUUUUUUAAUCUCCAAGCCCUGGAAAUGCCUGAGAUGCUGAAGGUCUAACAAACCCAG
This is an RNA transcript of Dermacentor silvarum, 557 nucleotides long. RefSeq lists it as uncharacterized. Lineage: Eukaryota; Metazoa; Arthropoda; Arachnida; Ixodida; Ixodidae. The transcript is spliced from 3 exons. The record is from RefSeq and is a predicted model, not a curated record.